UAAAGCAAUCAUGGCGCAAUACAAGUUCGAAGGUGAUUUUGAAAGCCUAAACGAACCCCAACUGGAGUUCGUCAAUAAAGUGGUAGAAAAACAAGGUUUAAAAGCUAAAAGAGUAAUUUUCAACACAGUUGGGAAAGCCGGUGAUAAUUUUGUAGGAAAUGUUAAGAGAAUCACCAUAGAAGGUGAAGAUGGAAGCAUGAAAAUGAUUGUCAAAAUCGCCGCUACAGAUGAAAUGGCUCGACACACAACCAAUCAUGAAGUUACGUUUCGCAAUGAACACAUCAUGUACACAGAGGUAUUGCCUAAAUUCGUGCAGCUGCAGAAAGCAGCAGGAAUACCAGAAAAGGAUCUAUUUAGGUUUGCAAAAUGCUAUGGAUCUUUCAACGAACCUCCCAAUGAAGUUAUUAUAUUAGAAGACUUGAAUGAAUCACAAUUCAGUAUGCUGGAUAAGUUUGAAUCAUUGUCCAAUGAAUGUGUGAGAAAGGUACUAAAAGACUUAGCUGUGUACCAUUCUCUUUCAUUCGUUCUGAAGAAGCAAGAACCGAAAAAGUAUGAAGAGUUUAAAAAGAAACUGACAGAUGGUUGGAAUGUAGUGUUCUCAAACCCUUUGAUGAAUAAUCACUGGAAAUUAUUGGAAGCUGAUACUGUAAAAGUUCUUGGUGAUAAGCAUAAACAUUUAAUUGAAAAUAAACUUAUUAAAAUGUUCAAAGGGCGGGCCCAGUUGGUAGCAAGUGGAAGUCAAAGACAUAAUGUUAUUCAACAAGGAGAUGCGUGGACGAAUAAUAUUAUGUUUAAAAUGGAAGGUGACUCAAUACAAUCCAUCAUGAUCGACUACCAAUUUGCAACCGACGGUAACCCAACACUUGAUCUCCUCUACAUCAUCUUCAACUGCACCGAUCACGAAACCAGGUCCAAACACUAUCCCAGUUGGAUAGACCAUUACUAUUCGGAACUAGACAAGUCACUAUCGAAUUUUGGACUAAAAGCUGCCAUAGUUUACCCAAGAAACCAGAUGGAUGCAGAUAUAAAGAAAUACGCUCAAUUCAUGUUCUAUCAUUGUAUAUUAUUUGCUACUCUUCUAAUGAGGGAUCCGACAGAAGCGACGGAAAUUUUGGAGUCGUUCAAAAAAGCGCAUUUAGAUGACGCCACAGCAACUUUGAAGUCGGAGAACUUGCAGAGUGCGACUGUUGGGAGGAUCAAGGGUAGAAUAGAGGGUGUUAUUGCUAGCUACGAACAGUUUGGGUUGUUUUAAAUUAUGUUGUUUGUAUAAAUAGUGUGUGAUAAGACUACUUCUGUCAAUUUAAGCGAUAGAAGUUCCGAAACACGUAAUGGAUGGAUGGAUGGAUAUGGCCUGAACCCAGGAUUUUAUAGUUUAUUUAUUUGUUUGUUAAUCAGUAAAUAAUAA
Molecule: unclassified non-coding RNA, 1405 nt
Filed under: Helicoverpa zea (corn earworm)
Lineage: Eukaryota; Metazoa; Arthropoda; Insecta; Lepidoptera; Noctuidae
Description: uncharacterized LOC124640817, transcript variant X1
Source: RNAcentral